RNAcentral lists this transfer RNA (85 nucleotides) under Felis catus (domestic cat). It matches the Rfam family "tRNA". Rfam says of the family: Transfer RNA (tRNA) molecules are approximately 80 nucleotides in length. Their secondary structure includes four short double-helical elements and three loops (D, anti-codon, and T loops). RNAcentral also lists the same sequence under 3 other names. Lineage: Eukaryota; Metazoa; Chordata; Mammalia; Carnivora; Felidae. The record is from Rfam by way of RNAcentral.
GCCUGGGUGGCUCAGUCGGUUAAGCAUCUGACUUCGGCUCAGGUCAUGAUCUCACGGUCUGUGAGUUCGAGCCCCGCGUCAGGCU